AUGGGGCUGAUGCAAAUCCGGCAUGGUCUCCACGUGUGCUCUGAGCUCUCUUUUUGGGAUGUGCGUCCACUGAGCAGCCUGGUCAGCUGCCUUCUCUCACAGGGCUCCUUGGUCUCACCUUGUAGUGGAGUGUGCUGUUGCAGGGUAACAUCUGGACUGAGCUCCUGGACCCUUGGAUGCUCGGCUGCAAGUUCCUGGAUCGACUUGGAGAAAACACCCUCCUCUGGCACACCCUCCUCCAGGAGCCAUGGAGAUGGCAACUGUGACUCCAGACACGGCCUUCCUGACCCCAACUGUCUUACAGUCGGGGACCUGCUGAAUGUGCCUCCUGAGAGCUGCUCUUUUCUACCAUCAGAGCCCAACUUAUGGGCUCACAAGCUUCCUGAAGUGGCUAAACAGAUAACCUCCACAGUUUCCAUCUUAAAUGCACGGAAAAUAUGGAAUCCUGACAAUUUCAGGACAGAACGAGUCCCAAGUGUCAAUUUCAGAGUUCAAAAGCCAGAGAAGAAAGCUGCAUCUUCUCCCCCGGAUGUGCAGUUAACUUUGACUCUGGCAGAGAUGGUAUUUUGACUGGGAGCACCCGGAGACCUCGCCCUGAACACAGCAAGGCUUAACUCGCAGUUCCUGGGCCAGCUUUUAUCUGGGGGUUCUAAUCCAGAACUGAUGCCAGCUUCUUUUUCUCAAAGGCAAAAGUGUGGUUUUUUGAUGAUAAAAUACAAAAUGAUCAUUACUGGAAGUGUUAUAAUAAUAGAAGAAUAAGCUUAAUAUUCUAACCGAACCCAGCCGCAUUUAGAAUAAGCUUAAUAUUCUAACCGAACCCAGCCGCGUUUAGAAUAAGCUUAAGAUUCUAACCGAACCCAGCCGCAUUUAGAAUAAGCUUAAGAUUCUAACCGAACCCAGCCGCAUUUAGAAUAAGCUUAAGAUUCUAACCGAACCCAGCCGCAUUUAGAAUAAGCUUAAUACUCUAACCGAACCCAGCCGCAUUUAGAAUAAGCUUAAUAUUCUAACCGAACCCAGCAUUUAGAAUAAGCUUAAUAUUCUAACCAACCCAGCCGUUUAGAAUAAGCUUAAUAUUCUAACCGAACCCAGCCGCUUAGAAUAAGCUUAAUACUCUAACCGAACCCAGCCGCAUUUAGAAUAAGCUUAAUACUCUAACCGAACCCAGCCGCGUUUAGAAUAAGCUUAAUACUCUAACCGAACCCAGCAUUUAGAAUAAGCUUAAUAUUCUAACCGAACCCAGCGUUUAGAAUAAGCUUAAUACUCUAACCGAACCCAGCCGCGUUUAGAAUAAGCUUAAUACUCUAACCGAACCCAGCCGCAUUUAGAAUAAGCUUAAUACUCUAACCGAACCCAGCCGCGUUUAGAAUAAGCUUAAUACUCUAACCGAACCCAGCCGCGUUUAGAAUAAGCUUAAUACUCUAACCAACCCAGCCGUUUAGAAUAAGCUUAAUACUCUAACCAACCCAGCCGCUUAGAAUAAGCUUAAUACUCUAACCGAACCCAGCCGCUUAGAAUAAGCUUAAGAUUCUAACCAACCCAGCCGCGUUUAGAAUAAGCUUAAUAUUCUAACCGAACCCAGCCGCGUUUAGAAUAAGCUUAAGAUUCUAACCGAACCCAGCCGCGUUUAGAAUAAGCUUAAGAUUCUAACCGAACCCAGCCGCGUUUAGAAUAAGCUUAAGAUUCUAACCGAACCCAGCCGCGUUUAGAAUAAGCUUAAGAUUCUAACCAACCCAGCGUUUAGAAUAAGCUUAAGAUUCUAACCAACCCAGCCGUUUAGAAUAAGCUUAAUGUUCUAACCAACCCAGC
Long non-coding RNA from Bos grunniens (domestic yak), 1806 nucleotides. The record is from Ensembl. Lineage: Eukaryota; Metazoa; Chordata; Mammalia; Artiodactyla; Bovidae.